CAUACUUAUUUCUUAAAUCACACACAUUCCGACACGUGAUCCGGGGUGCUCUUUUACGCUAAUUUUAUAGUGAAAGGGUCGGUAUCAUGGGGGGUGUGGAGGCCUAAC
This 108-nucleotide small RNA is filed under the name Vibrio rumoiensis 1S-45. Its description in RNAcentral is "t44 RNA". It matches the Rfam family "t44 RNA". Rfam says of the family: This family consists of a number of bacterial RNA genes of between 135 and 170 bases in length. The t44 gene is found between the map and rpsB genes in all species in the full alignment apart from Shigella flexneri. The record is from Rfam by way of RNAcentral. Lineage: Bacteria; Pseudomonadati; Pseudomonadota; Gammaproteobacteria; Vibrionales; Vibrionaceae.